AACGAACGCUGGCGGCAUGCCUAACACAUGCAAGUCGAACGAGACCUUCGGGUCUAGUGGCGCACGGGUGCGUAACGCGUGGGAACCUGCCCUUAGGUUCGGAAUAACUCCCCGAAAGGGGUGCUAAUACCGGAUAAUGUCUUCGGACCAAAGAUUUAUCGCCUUUGGAUGGGCCCGCGUUGGAUUAGCUAGUUGGUAGGGUAAAAGCCUACCAAGGCGACGAUCCAUAGCUGGUCUGAGAGGAUGAUCAGCCACACUGGGACUGAGACACGGCCCAGACUCCUACGGGAGGCAGCAGUGGGGAAUAUUGGACAAUGGGCGAAAGCCUGAUCCUGCAAUGCCGCGUGAGUGAUGAAGGCCUUAGGGUUGUAAAGCUCUUUUACCCGGGAUGAUAAUGACAGUACCGGGAGAAUAAGCUCCGGCUAACUCCGUG
RNAcentral lists this ribosomal RNA (433 nucleotides) under uncultured bacterium. RNAcentral's name for it is "partial 16S ribosomal RNA". It matches the Rfam family "Bacterial small subunit ribosomal RNA", at positions 29 to 507 of the family's 1533-position model. The record is from RNAcentral.